RNAcentral lists this long non-coding RNA (1210 nucleotides) under Homo sapiens (human). RNAcentral describes it as "HSALNT0118622". Lineage: Eukaryota; Metazoa; Chordata; Mammalia; Primates; Hominidae. The record is from RNAcentral.
AAUGGGGGCAGGCUUUCCUUUUGCUCUACUCGUGAUAGACUUCUCACAAAAUCUGGCUGUUUGAACAUGUGUAGCACCUCCCCCAUUCUCUCUCUCUCUUUUGACAGCCGUGCAAAUACAUGCCUGCUUCCCCGUCACCAUCAUCUUAACAUCUGGCAUGAUGUUAAGUUUUCUGAGGCCUCCCCAGAAGCAAAACCUAUACAGCCUGAGGAACUGUGUUUCAAUUGAACCUGUUUUCUUUAUGAAUUACCCAGUCUCAGGAUCAUAGACAGAAGUGUCUUGCCUUGUCUCAGAUGAGACUUUGGACUGUGGACUUUUGAGUUAAUGCUGGAAUAAGUUAAGACUUUUGGGACUGGUGGGAAGGAAUGAUUGUGUUUUGAAAUAUGAAAAUGACACAAGAUUUGGGAGGGGCCAGGGGCAGAAUGAUAUGGCUUGUUUCUGUGUCCCCACCUAAAUCUCAUGUUGAAUCGUAUUCACCAGUGUUGGAGAUGGGAUCUGGCAGGAGGUCAUUGAAUCAUGAGACAAACUUCCCCUUUGCUGUUCUUAUGGUAUACUUCUCAUGAGAUCUAGUUAUUUGAAAGUGCACAGCACCUCCCCCUUCACUCUCUCUCUGUCUCUCUCCUGCCAGGCAUGUGAAGAUUUACCUGCUUUCCCUUCACCUUCUGGCAUAAUUGCAAGUUUCCUGAGGCCUCCCCAGAAGCAGAGCCCUGUACAACCCGUGGAACUGUGAAUCAAUUAAACCUCUUUUCUUUAUGAAUUACUCAGUCCUAGGUAUGUCUUUAUAGCAGUGUGAGAACAGACUAAUGCAAUGGCUUACACUACAGUACAGUGAAAAUUAAAUAAACAAAUAAUUAUAAUAAAACUCAGGCCAUAGUAGAAGUAAGUUGAACGCCUAGAGAGAGAAGGCUGUAAAUAUAUUUGUCUAAUAAUAUGAUUUGGCUCUGCCCCCACCCAGAUCUCAUCUUGAAUUAUAGCUCCCAUAAUACCCACAUGUUGUGGUAGGGACCCAGUGGCAGGUAAUUGAAUCAUGUGUGUUUUUCCUGUGCUGUUCUCGUGAUAGUUAAUAAAUCUCAUAAUAUCUGAUGGUUUUAUAAAGGGUAGUUCCCCUGCACACUCUUUUGCCUGAAACCAUGUAAAAUGUGCGUUUGCUCCUCCUUUGCCUUCCGCCAUGAUUGUAAGGCCUCCACAGCCAUAUAGAACUGUGAGUCCA